RNAcentral lists this ribosomal RNA (428 nucleotides) under uncultured bacterium. Its description in RNAcentral is "bacterial SSU rRNA". It matches the Rfam family "Bacterial small subunit ribosomal RNA", at positions 355 to 775 of the family's 1533-position model. The record is from RNAcentral.
UGGGGAAUAUUGGACAAUGGGGGAAACCCUGAUCCAGCGACGCCGCGUGUGUGAAGAAGGCCUGCGGGUUGUAAAGCACUUUUAGUGGGGACAAAAAGUCAUGGGCUAAUACCGCGUGAUCUUGAUUUAACCUACAGAAAAAGCACCGGCUAACUCUGUGCCAGCAGCCGCGGUAAUACAGAGGGUGCGAGCGUUAAUCGGAAUUACUGGGCGUAAAGCGCGCGUAGACGGUUUUGUAAGUCAGAUGUGAAAUCCCCGGGCUCAACCUGGGAACUGCAUUUGAGACUGCAUGGCUAGAGUAUGGAAGAGGGAAGUGGAAUUUCCGGUGUAGCGGUGAAAUGCGUAGAUAUCGGAAGGAACACCAGUGGCGAAAGCGACUUCCUGGUCCAAUACUGACGUUCAUGUGCGAAAGCGUGGGGAGCAAACAG